AGCAGGCUGUGCAGCCGCGCGCGUCUGUCCGAAAGGUGGCGCGUGAGGAAAGUCCGAGCUUUAAGGGCAGGAUAGUUGAUAACAUCAACCGAAGGCGACUUCAGGAAAAGUGCAACAGAGAUAUACCGCCCGCUUUUGCGGGUAAGGGUGGAAACGGGAGGUAAGAGCUCCCGAGGUCCUAUGGUGACAUAGGGGCUAUGUAAACUCUAUCCAAAGCAACACCGUAUAAGAGCUGAGUUAAAUCUCAAGGUCGGCCCGGCCGCUCAGAGGUGGCUUGAGGCAUAUGGCGACAUAUUGUCCAGAUAGAUGGCUGCAUUCAACAGAACUCGGCUUACAGGCCUGCUCA
This 346-nucleotide RNase P RNA is filed under the name human gut metagenome. RNAcentral describes it as "Bacterial RNase P class A". It matches the Rfam family "Bacterial RNase P class A". Rfam says of the family: Ribonuclease P (RNase P) is a ubiquitous endoribonuclease, found in archaea, bacteria and eukarya as well as chloroplasts and mitochondria. Its best characterised activity is the generation of mature 5'-ends of tRNAs by cleaving the 5'-leader elements of precursor-tRNAs. The record is from RNAcentral. RNAcentral also lists the same sequence under 1 other name.